This 701-nucleotide ribosomal RNA is filed under the name Streptomyces sp. A20MEG1. RNAcentral describes it as "bacterial SSU rRNA". It matches the Rfam family "Bacterial small subunit ribosomal RNA", at positions 112 to 826 of the family's 1533-position model. The record is from RNAcentral. RNAcentral also lists the same sequence under 2 other names. Lineage: Bacteria; Bacillati; Actinomycetota; Actinomycetes; Kitasatosporales; Streptomycetaceae.
AACACGUGGGCAAUCUGCCCUUCACUCUGGGACAAGCCCUGGAAACGGGGUCUAAUACCGGAUAUGACACACGACCGCAUGGUCUGUGUGUGGAAAGCUCCGGCGGUGAAGGAUGAGCCCGCGGCCUAUCAGCUUGUUGGUGGGGUGAUGGCCUACCAAGGCGACGACGGGUAGCCGGCCUGAGAGGGCGACCGGCCACACUGGGACUGAGACACGGCCCAGACUCCUACGGGAGGCAGCAGUGGGGAAUAUUGCACAAUGGGCGAAAGCCUGAUGCAGCGACGCCGCGUGAGGGAUGACGGCCUUCGGGUUGUAAACCUCUUUCAGCAGGGAAGAAGCGAGAGUGACGGUACCUGCAGAAGAAGCGCCGGCUAACUACGUGCCAGCAGCCGCGGUAAUACGUAGGGCGCAAGCGUUGUCCGGAAUUAUUGGGCGUAAAGAGCUCGUAGGCGGCUUGUCACGUCGGAUGUGAAAGCCCGGGGCUUAACCCCGGGUCUGCAUUCGAUACGGGCAGGCUAGAGUUCGGUAGGGGAGAUCGGAAUUCCUGGUGUAGCGGUGAAAUGCGCAGAUAUCAGGAGGAACACCGGUGGCGAAGGCGGAUCUCUGGGCCGAUACUGACGCUGAGGAGCGAAAGCGUGGGGAGCGAACAGGAUUAGAUACCCUGGUAGUCCACGCCGUAAACGUUGGGAACUAGGUGUGGG